This is a non-coding RNA of Pelobates cultripes (western spadefoot toad), 236 nucleotides long. Lineage: Eukaryota; Metazoa; Chordata; Amphibia; Anura; Pelobatidae. The record is from the annotation of a GenBank genome assembly.
UACAGAAAGGAACAAAUACAAUAAGAGCAAAGCCAAAGGGUCAGGGAUACCAACAAUAUGGGAAGUCAAGCCAAGCCAAGAUCAAUAACCAAUGAACAGUAUCAGGAACGCGCUCUCGGAUAACCAACAGGAUGGAAACCACAACAGGGCACUAAACCACUGCAGGUUUGGGUUUAAAUAACCCAGUAAACCCUGCUGUGGCGAAACCAACCUAGUCACUGGGCAUUGGAGAAGCC